UUUUUUUUUUUUAAGAAUAGUUAAAUUUCAUAUUUGUGUGCGUGGUGCAGUUUGUCAUAUUUGUGAUGUUCGCAAUCUUCAAUGAAACUAAACAUCAGCAAUAACAAACCCAAACCUGUUCUUCAAGACAUGCUCAGUACUCUCUUCUCUCUCUCUCUCUCUCUCUAGCAUUGCAUUGUAUGAUUCUGAUUUUUAUAAGCUUUAUUUACUUCUGUGACAGAUUCUGAGGUCUGUUACCUCCCUCCAUUCUCAAUCCCCAAAUCAUCUUCCUCAUCUCAAAUCUCCUAAAUCUUGUUAUUUCACAAACCCAUCUCUUAAAGAUGCCAUUUUUUUUUGUUUUUUUUCUUUUUUUACUGAAUUUUAGCACUGUUAGCUGUUACCCUGUUAAAUUGCACUAGGUAGUUAGGUCUUGUUUGGAUAAACUUUUUAAUUUAGAGAUUAUCAUAUAAGUGUUUUAUCUAUAAGCUAUUUCUAUUACAAAAGACAAAAUAGAAUCAAACCAUUUUCAUAUAAGCUGUUUUCAUAAGCUAUCCUAAAGAGCUUAUGAAAAUAUGCUGAACACAACUUAUGAAUAUUAUAAGCUGUUUCAAUAAACUCUUUCAAAUAAUCUCACAAGAGAUAAACUCAAAUAAGUCAAUCGAAACAAGCCUAGUUGGUAGUUGAACAUCUAGCAUGGAGUUUCCUGUUGCAAAGUUUAGGGUGGUCUCAACAGACAUGAAUAACUCUUUAGCUUGUGAACAAUUAGUUGUGUGAAUACACACUUUGAUAGUUCUUUUUACUGUGGAGUUUGUACAAGUUUAGAAUGGAAUGAUGGAAUACUUUGUUAUCAUAUCCAAUCCAAGAUUUUUAACUGCUUACAUAGAUACUUUAAAUUUCUGUACAUUUGCUUUGCACCUUGAAAAUUCAUCUCACAGAAGUUAUGCUAGGCUUGAAUGUUGAAUGAGUUCUUUUACUGUCAAAUAGUAGUUGCUCAAGAAUAACGAGUCACAAUUUAUAGCACUUUAGCUCCUCUUUUGGUUAGUCAGAUUGAAAAUUUAGAAUGCACAUUGUGUGUAUAGAAUUAUGUACUUUAUCUACUGCUACUUUUGGGACAUGACAUUGCUACCAUCGAAACUCUUUUAAACUUCAAAGAUGCCAUGGUACUGUUUUUUUUUUUUUUUUGCUCAUGUAGGAUGUUUCACAGUGAUCUGUCAUGUGUGGAAGUUGUUACAAUGAGUGCCUUUAGGCUAUCCAACUUUAACAUUCUCUUCAACUGCAAUUAUCAAUGUUUUGAUGACUGUGUAAAGUAAAGUUAGCCUUAGGUUUGAAGCUUCAUUGAUUGAACAUGUACCUAAAAAUUUGGUCAAGUUCUUUGUAUGAUUGCUAACUUGUGAGUGGAAUUUGGCUUCUCCAUUUUGCAUAUUACGGCAAUCACUUCAGAUCAGAUAAGUCCCUGCAAAUUAAUAUCUUGCAAGGUCUAAAUAACUAGCUGGUGGAAAUGAAUGAAUUGUAUCCAUUCAUCAUCCCCUUCUUAUAGAUUUGGGAAUGAACAAUUUAUGUUUCAAAGUAAAAGCAUAGAGUUUCUCAUAUUGAUAUAUUUUUAAUAAUUAUUGUGAUAGAAGCUUUAAACACAUUUAACAUAGAAAAUAUGGAAGGCAGAGGAAUGAAAUCGAGAAUGGAUGGAUCCUCUCAUAUGUGUAAUUUACACAUUAGAGAGUAAAGUGUAAUCUUUCAUCCUAACACAUCAUCACACUUAUUCUCUCAUGUGUAAAUUACACAUGAGAGGAUCCAUUCCCAGUAAAAUCAUAUUCGGAAGGAAGAGUGUUAAAAAUGCUUAACAUCAUUGAAUUUGAAAGAUGUUAAGUUGUUCUUUGAUUCGUCUUAAGGAUGCAGGAAGGAGUAGAGCAGUGGGAGUGGAUCAUGAUUUUGGAGAAUGGUUGCAGGGAGGACAAAACAAUGGCGAGUGUGAAGAUUAUAGUUUAUGUUUGAAAGUCUGCAUAACCUACAAGCAGUUAAGUUACAACGUCUCUAUUGGCCAAUAGACUUACAGGAAAAGUGAGGAUCCAAGGAGCUUCAUUGGAGAGAGUGCUGUAUUCAGGGCCAGAGUUUGCGGCAGAGCAGCUAACAAAAAUACCAUUUUGAGUAGCAGCAAAAGCACCAAUUGCAAUUGGGUCUUCAAAGAAUGGAAGAGAACCUAAACCAAGUGAAAGUGACAGAACAUCUACACCAUCUUCAAUAGCUAUAUCCAUUGCAGCUAAGAUAGCACUUUCGGGGCAUUCUAUUUUAUCAUUGCACACUUUGUAUAUUGCUAAGUGAGCAUUAGGUGCCAUACCAGCUGCUACACCUUUAGCAUUACCAAAAACACUUGCAUCUUUUAUGAAUCUUCCUGCAGCCUCCGCAGCAGUGUGCGUUCCAUGGAAAAUGUUUUCAAAUGGAGGCUCUUGAAUCGUGGCGGCGGCAUUCCUUCGUCAUUGAAUGAUGGAUGAGAAGGGAAUAUUCCUGAGUCUAUGACUCCAAUUAUGACACCUUUUCCAAGGUUAUCAUCAUUCCACAACCCCUGUCCAUGCUUCAGACCCAAGAAAGUUGGACUGUGAGUUGUGUGUAAUGAAAGUGUCCUUUCAGGUCUUGCUAACAAAAUUCCAUCUUUCUCUUGAAGAGAUUUGGCUUCUUCUGGUGUCAGCUUCACAGCAAAUCCAGAGGCUACAUGGCGGUAUGAGAAAACCAUUCUGUCCUUGUGAGGAAAAUUUUGUGGAAGAAAUGAAUGGUACCAGCUAUGCAAAUCUUCUGAUUGAAAGGAAGCAACAUUUUCUGAUUUUUUGACAUGAACAAUGUAUGUCAUUAAGUUGUGAUCAUGCUCUUGAUUCUCCUCUGCAGCAAAUACUGAUGUAAUUUGGUUGAAGCUGCAGAGAAUGAAAAUGAGACUAACAAGCAAUGACAGUUGCAUAGUGUAGUUGGUUUUCAUCAUGAUUUGGGAUUUGAUAAAGAUAAAGAAAGAAUUGCUUGUGAUUUGCCUACUAUCAUGCAUGUGUAUAUAUAGAUAGAUAUAUCAUAUAUGCCACAGAAAACAAAAUGGCAAUUUGGUCAUAGUUUUAUUUUAAUUACUUACUAGUUACUACUUGGGAAAACUAGGGUAAAUGUGUAUGAUAUAAGACUUUUUUUGGUAAUUUGAAUAAAGCAACUGUCAUAGUAAUUCCCCUAUAUAUGUGAUGUUAAUUUGUAUGUA
RNAcentral lists this long non-coding RNA (3202 nucleotides) under Medicago truncatula (barrel medic). RNAcentral's name for it is "lncRNA gene28605". Lineage: Eukaryota; Viridiplantae; Streptophyta; Magnoliopsida; Fabales; Fabaceae. The record is from RNAcentral.